UUUUAACCAUUUUCAAAAGAAAAAGUAGAAGCAAAAUUAAAAAUAAAAUAAAAUUUAAACUACAUUUAAAUAUUUUUCUUAAAGUGUGAUUUUUUUUUAAAGUUAUUUGUAUAUGAGACUGGAUGGUGUAUUAUAUUGGUGCAUGUUCUAAUUGAUGAUAACAUGGUUGUGUCUUUCCCUUCUUUUAUAAAUCUAAGUUUUAGGCCAUUGUAUUAAACCGAUAUCUUCUUUCUUGAUU
RNAcentral lists this long non-coding RNA (238 nucleotides) under Lathyrus oleraceus (garden pea). Its description in RNAcentral is "Pisum sativum (pea) long non-coding RNA (PSAT_LNC002509)". The record is from RNAcentral. Lineage: Eukaryota; Viridiplantae; Streptophyta; Magnoliopsida; Fabales; Fabaceae.